GCAGCUGUAGCCCGAGUAGUUAAGGCGAAUGAACUCAGAAAUCCAUUGGGGUCUCCCCACGUAGGUUCGAAUCCUACCAGCUGCG
This is a non-coding RNA of Trichonephila inaurata madagascariensis, 85 nucleotides long. NCBI's taxonomy places the organism in Eukaryota, Metazoa, Arthropoda, Arachnida, Araneae, Nephilidae. The record is from the annotation of a GenBank genome assembly.